CUCCGGUUGAUCCUGCCGGACCCGACUGCUAUCAGAGUGGGACUAAGCCAUGCGAGUCAACAUAGCAAUAUGUGGCAUACGGCUCAGUAACACGUAGUCAACAUGCCCAGGGGACGUGGAUAACCUCGGGAAACUGAGGAUAAACCGCGAUAGGUCAUCACUUCUGGAAUGGGUAAUGACUUAAAUCUAUAUGGCCCCUGGAUUGGACUGCGGCCGAUCAGGCUGUUGGUGAGGUAAUGGCCCACCAAACCUGUAACCGGUACGGGCUCUGAGAGGAGGAGCCCGGAGAUGGGCACUGAGACAAGGGCCCAGGCCCUAUGGGGCGCAGCAGGCGCGAAACCUCUGCAAUAGGCGAAAGCUUGACAGGGUUACUCUGAGUGAUUUCCGUUAAGGAGAUCUUUUGGCACCUCUAAAAAUGGUGCAGAAUAAGGGGUGGGCAAGUCUGGUGUCAGCCGCCGCGGUAAUACCAGCACCCCGAGUGGUCGGGACGUUUAUUGGGCCUAAAGCAUCCGUAGCCGGUUCUACAAGUCUUCCGUUAAAUCCACCUGCUUAACAGAUGGGCUGCGGAAGAUACUAUAGAGCUAGGAGGCGGGAGAGGCAAGCGGUACUCGAUGGGUAGGGGUAAAAUCCGUUGAUCCAUUGAAGACCACCAGUGGCGAAGGCGGCUUGCCAGAACGCGCUCGACGGUGAGGGAUGAAAGCUGGGGGAGCAAACCGGAUUAGAUACCCGGGUAGUCCCAGCUGUAAACGAUGCAGACUCGGUGAUGAGUUGGCUUAUUGCUAACUCAGUGCCGCAGGGAAGCCGUUAAGUUUGCCGCCUGGGGAGUACGGUCGCAAGACUGAAACUUAAAGGAAUUGGGGGGGGAGCA
RNAcentral lists this ribosomal RNA (868 nucleotides) under uncultured archaeon. RNAcentral's name for it is "bacterial SSU rRNA". It matches the Rfam family "Archaeal small subunit ribosomal RNA", at positions 1 to 878 of the family's 1478-position model. The record is from RNAcentral.